Long non-coding RNA from Corapipo altera (White-ruffed manakin), 626 nucleotides. RefSeq lists it as uncharacterized. Lineage: Eukaryota; Metazoa; Chordata; Aves; Passeriformes; Pipridae. The transcript is spliced from 5 exons. The record is from RefSeq and is a predicted model, not a curated record.
UUAAUGUGUGCUUAUUUCACUGACAGGGUCUUCUUUGAAGUCAACUCUGAGUGUGUAAAAACUGCACAUUUCUGAUAAAAUCAGGACUGUCUUGUUAGCUUGGUGAUACAAGUACUCUUGUACAGGAAAAGUGAAGCUGAUAGCAGAGGGGUUUAAGGAGUCCAAAUAAAAAGUGGGAACUACUGAGAGGGGUCUGGCUUCCUCCUCUUCAUUCCUUCCCAUCAAGUAUUUAUACACAUUGGUGAUUGCUCCCUGAGCCUUCUCUCUUCUGGACUGAAGAGUUCCAGCUGUCUCAACUUCUCCUAUUACGAAAGACACUCCAGUCCUUUAAUCACCUGCACAGGACUCACUCCAAAUGACAGAUUUUUGAGGCACCUGUAUGAAGACAUGGUCUUCUGGUUUUCCCAGUCAGGUGAUGUGUGGAAUCUCCCUCUGUACUGCGUUCAGGGUUGAGGAGGAAGGUUGACUUAUUUAACAAACUGAACAAGCAGCAAUAAGGUGGUGUCAUUGCUUAACUCCAGCCAGCAACUCAACACCACACAGCUGCUCACUCUUCCCCCUGCCCCUGUUUGGAUGGGAAGGGGAAUUGGAAAAAAGGAUUUUAGUCAGAUAUUGAUAAAUUAGAG